This 428-nucleotide ribosomal RNA is filed under the name uncultured bacterium. Its description in RNAcentral is "bacterial SSU rRNA". It matches the Rfam family "Bacterial small subunit ribosomal RNA", at positions 29 to 438 of the family's 1533-position model. The record is from RNAcentral.
AACGAACACUGGCGGCAUGGAUUAGGCAUGCAAGUCGAACGAGAAAGUUCCCUUCGGGGAAUGAGUAAAGUGGCGAACGGGUGAGUAACGCGUGGGAAACCUGCCCUUUUGUGGGGGAUAACAGUUCUAACGAGCUGCUAAUACCGCAUACGAACUUCGGAUCGCAUGGUCUGAAGUUGAAAGGUGGCCUCUCUUUGAAGCUGCCGCAAAAGGAUGGUCCCGCGUCCCAUUAGCUUGUUGGUGGGGUAAUGGCCUACCAAGGCGACGAUGGGUAGCCGGCCUGAGAGGGUGUCCGGCCACACUGGGACUGAGAUACGGCCCAGACUCCUACGGGAGGCAGCAGUCGAGAAGCUUCGGCAAUGGGCGAAAGCCUGACCGAGCGAUGCCGCGUGAGCGAAGAAGGCCCUAUGGGUUGUAAAGCUCUGUCA